AGUGCCUGCUAGUAGGACGUGCUGCACCUGUUGCUGGGCGUGCUGAAUCUGGCGCGCUGCUGACUGAAAAUCAAGAAAGCAAAUGGCAAACAUGAACUGAAUAGAACGGACGCCUGGUGCACCAACCGGUGCUACUCCGGAUGGAGAAAUCGGACUAGAAAGAUGAAAACAGACCAGGAGCCCCUGAAGUUCGAUUCCUACCUAGCGACGAACACAGGAGCCUACGAACAGAAACAUGGGUGAGCACAAAAACAACGAGAUCUCUACCAAAUCAAAACAACUCGGCUCCAAAUCUUGCACAGAUGAUCUCCAUGUUGGUGAGCUAUCCCAAAAGAAUCAUGGCUCAAACCCAACUCAAACUUCGUGAAUCGCAGAUCACAGAAAAGAACAAGAAACUUUCCCCAAAAACAAAAAACACAGCAC
This 423-nucleotide long non-coding RNA is filed under the name Sorghum bicolor (sorghum). RNAcentral's name for it is "long non-coding RNA (SBIC_LNC015112)". The record is from RNAcentral. Lineage: Eukaryota; Viridiplantae; Streptophyta; Magnoliopsida; Poales; Poaceae.